RNAcentral lists this small RNA (117 nucleotides) under Pongo abelii (Sumatran orangutan). RNAcentral's name for it is "Metazoan signal recognition particle RNA (ENSPPYG00000031980.1)". The record is from Rfam by way of RNAcentral. Lineage: Eukaryota; Metazoa; Chordata; Mammalia; Primates; Hominidae.
GCCGGGCAUGGUGGCUCACGCCUGUAAUCCCAGCACUUUGGGAGGCUGAGGUGGGUGGAUCACUUGAGGUCAGGAGUUUGAGACCAGCCUGACCAACAUGGUGAAACCCCAUCUCUA